Molecule: ribosomal RNA, 253 nt
Filed under: uncultured bacterium
Lineage: Bacteria
Description: partial 16S ribosomal RNA
Rfam family: Bacterial small subunit ribosomal RNA
Source: RNAcentral
UACGAAGGGGGCUAGCGUUGCUCGGAAUCACCGGGCGUAAAGGGUGCGUAGGCGGGUCUUUAAGUCAGGGGUGAAAUCCUGGAGCUCAACUCCAGAACUGCCUUUGAUACUGAAGAUCUUGAGUUCGGGAGAGGUGAGUGGAACUGCGAGUGUAGAGGUGAAAUUCGUAGAUAUUCGCAAGAACACCAGUGGCGAAGGCGACAUACUGGUCCGUUACUGACGCUGAGGCUCGAAAGCGUGGGGAGCAAACAGG